GCCGGAGUAGCUCAGGGGUAGAGCGCAUCCUUGGUAAGGAUGAGGUCACGAGUUCAAUUCUCGUCUUCGGCUCAA
RNAcentral lists this transfer RNA (75 nucleotides) under Mariniphaga anaerophila. RNAcentral's name for it is "tRNA-Thr". It matches the Rfam family "tRNA". From Rfam's summary of the family: Transfer RNA (tRNA) molecules are approximately 80 nucleotides in length. Their secondary structure includes four short double-helical elements and three loops (D, anti-codon, and T loops). Further hydrogen bonds mediate the characteristic L-shaped molecular structure. tRNAs have two regions of fundamental functional importance: the anti-codon, which is responsible for specific mRNA codon recognition, and the 3' end, to which the tRNAs corresponding amino acid is attached (by aminoacyl-tRNA synthetases). tRNAs cope with the degeneracy of the genetic code in two manners: having more than one tRNA (with a specific anti-codon) for a particular amino acid; and 'wobble' base-pairing, i.e. permitting non-standard base-pairing at the 3rd anti-codon position. The record is from RNAcentral. Lineage: Bacteria; Pseudomonadati; Bacteroidota; Bacteroidia; Marinilabiliales; Prolixibacteraceae. RNAcentral also lists the same sequence under 3 other names.